GUGAAAACUGAACCAGCAGCCAGUGAAGAAAUGAUAACACAGGAGUAAAACAAUAUACUCCUUUUUUUUUUCUUCUGCCAGUCAGUAGCCUGGCUGCAGCAUUCUGCCCAAGCCUUAGGCGGGACAGUUGCCGCUGACAGAGUCCUGGAUAGAGAGAGUUGCAAUUGUCCAAUCUAGAUGUAAUAAAAGCAUGAAUAAUUAACUCUAAAUUUUUAAAACUAAGCAAAGCUUUUAGCUUAGAAAUCAUCCCAAGCUGGUAGAAGCUGCCUUUAACAACAGAAUUUAUCUGUCUAUCAAAGCUAAGAGUUGAGUCAAUUAUAAAACCAAGAUUUCUCACACUGUCUUUCACAGUUAUUUCUAAAGGAGUGAGAAUACUGGUUAUCUUCUCUGUGUGUUUUGGGGGAACAAAUAUAAUAAUCUCUGACUUUCUUUCGAAAGUAAAGUAAACGUAGAUUGUGUAAGCAGAUUGUAUCAGUGCAUCUUCUAGUUACAUUCAGCACUUGAAGCCAUCUGCCCUCUAUCUCCAGAUCUUUCUUUCACUAUGUUUAUGCUGCCAGUAUUUCAGGGAAAAAAUGUUAUAUUCUUAAGUGAAAACUCC
Molecule: long non-coding RNA, 598 nt
Organism: Pangasianodon hypophthalmus (striped catfish)
Lineage: Eukaryota; Metazoa; Chordata; Actinopteri; Siluriformes; Pangasiidae
Exons: 3
Source: RefSeq, a predicted model, not a curated record